RNAcentral lists this ribosomal RNA (433 nucleotides) under uncultured bacterium. Its description in RNAcentral is "bacterial SSU rRNA". It matches the Rfam family "Bacterial small subunit ribosomal RNA", at positions 29 to 506 of the family's 1533-position model. The record is from RNAcentral.
AUAAACGUUGGCGGCGUGCCUAACGCAUGCAAGUCGCACGGAGCGAAAGCUCAGUGGCGGACGGGUGAGUAACACGUAGGAACCUGCCCAGAAGUGGGGGAUAACUCCUCGAAAGAGGAGCUAAUACCGCAUACGGUCCACGGACCAAAGCAGCAAUGCGCUUCUGGAGGGGCCUGCGGCGGAUUAGCUAGUUGGUGGGGUAACGGCCUACCAAGGCAACGAUCCGUAUCUGGUCUGAGAGGACGGCCAGACACACUGGGACUGAGAUACGGCCCAGACUCCUACGGGAGGCAGCAGCGAGGAAUUUUCCGCAAUCGACGAAAGUCGGACGGAGCAACGCCGCGUGGGGGAAGAAGGCCUUCGGGUUGUAAACCCCUUUUGCGAGGGAAGAAGAUCUGACGGUACCUCGCGAAUAAGUCACGGCUAACUACGU